CAAUCUCCUCCACUCCCUCUCCCCAAACGUGGCAUUCUCACUCGGCCUUGCCCCCCGCACCUUGGUGUGAAAGGCCAGCCUUUCCCAACGCCAAGGCAAGUUGAAUGACUGAUUCUAGCUUCUGUUGGGAAAGUUUCCCGUCUGUGAGUUAUAGGACUUUCUGGUGCUCUGCCCGGUUCUGGAAAAAGGCAUCUCCUUGAACUUCCUUUCUGGUGUCCUUCAAACUCAGCCUAACCUAGCUCAGCAACACUGCCACCCUAGCCUUCCCAGUUUGAGCCCCUGGAGGAUCCGACAGACGUCCCGCAAAGACGCUGUGCCCUCCUUCCGGUCCCUCCGCAGAGCCAGGCACUGCGCGCAAGAAAGGGUUCAGGAGACACCGCUCGUAACUCGCGGGCAACUCUCGGAAUCGCCUAUGGUCUCCUUAGGGUCUGACUUCUCCGUGGCCAGAGCCCCCGAGCCAGUCCCCCAUCCAGUGAUUCGGCAGCAGGUGGCAGAGGCGCUGCGAGGAAGGGCUAGGGAGGGGGCACCUCACUCUUGGGCUGGUGGUUCAAGCUCGGGCUUCCAGUCCUCCGCCCCCGCGCCCCCGCGCCCAGCGCCGCGCAGCGCCCCCGGCGCCCCCCGCCGGCCUCCGCCCGCACCUGCAUCCGCUCCGAGCGCCUUGCCUGCUGCCACCGCCGCCGCCGCCGCCACCACCACCGCCGACUCUCUCACUCUCAGCGCGGCGGACGCCCCCGGGCCGAGCGGCGAGUGUGCUCCGGUGCCAGACCCAUCGCCAGACGUCCCUGGGCCGCUUGACUCCGGAGUCCCGCUCCUGAACCCUGCGUCCUCAAAGAUGAAUGUGAGGAGAGUGGAAAGCAUCUCAGCUCAGCUGGAGGAGGCGAGCUCCACAGGCGCCAAGUGCAACAUCUGAAAGGGAAACAGAAGGAAAGGAGAAUUACAGCUCUAAGAUACUUUCUGGUGGGCUAGAAGUGGAGAUGAAGCUAUUAAUAUCUCUCUUUAAUAUUCUUACAUCAUAAACUUCUGUUUUAUGUCUUGACAUUACCUUUUAUCUUACAGUGUCUUUUCCUUUGUUUGCAUUUAUCUUGGAUGAUAUUAUAUAUUAGUAAUGAUAUUGGAAAUGUGUGUAGGAACCUUGUGGGUAUCAUGUAAAACUAACAGCCACCCUAUUUAAUUUGAUGUUAAACUGAAACUAACUUAGUUUCCUUAGUCUCAGUUUACUCUCUAAGAAUCAGAAAUCAAUUUGUCUUUUUUUUUUUGUCUUUUUAGGGCUGCACCCUCAGUAUAUGGAAGUUUUAGGCUAGGGGUCAAAUCAGAACUGUAGCUGCCAGCCUGUGCCACAGCCACAGCAAUGCCAGAUCCAAGCCACGUCUGUGACCUACACCAUAGCUCACAGCAACACUGGAUCCUUAACCCACUGAUCAGGCCAGGGAUCAAACCUGCAUCCUCAUGGAUACUAGUCAGAUUCAUUUCCUCUGAGCCAUGGUGGAAACUCCUGUCUGGUUUUAAUAUUACUCAUUUCUCUUGGUAUAAAAUUAGAUUAGGUAAAAUUCAUUGUCAUUUUCAACACACCUCCUGUUGGAAUUAUUAGUCUACUCAAAUGCUGUCAAGAAGCUGCAGGUGAUCACAGGCCUAUGGUUUCAUGACACAAAAUAAUUGAUCUAAAAGUGAACCAUUUGGUCAAACAUUUAUGAGUAGGUGGCUCUUGACAUAGAAUAAAAUUAAGUAAACUUUGAGGUGAUCCA
Molecule: long non-coding RNA, 1742 nt
Filed under: Sus scrofa (pig)
Lineage: Eukaryota; Metazoa; Chordata; Mammalia; Artiodactyla; Suidae
Description: lncRNA (ENSSSCG00040046309.1)
Source: RNAcentral